AAUAAGAUAUUGAAAACAAAACCCGUGAGUGAGUGAAUUCAUCACAGUAGAGUCCCUAAGCAGAAGCAGAAAGAGCAGCUUGAGUGGGUUAUAAAGGGUAAAAAAUGAAACAGAGUGGGCAUGGAUGGAGUUGGCAAGUGGGGAAAAAGGGUGUCCCUCUGGUUUUUUUGUGGGGUAAAAGAAAAAUGAAAAGACAUGCUAAAUAGUAUUUGUGAGAUGGGAUGGGGUUUAAAUUUUUGUAGUGAGAAAGGAGUCCUCCAUGGCUCCAUCCAACAUUUUCCCCAUUGUUUUGUUACUUUC
This 300-nucleotide long non-coding RNA is filed under the name Linum usitatissimum (flax). RNAcentral's name for it is "long non-coding RNA (LUSI_LNC000941)". The record is from RNAcentral. Lineage: Eukaryota; Viridiplantae; Streptophyta; Magnoliopsida; Malpighiales; Linaceae.